This is a long non-coding RNA of Stegastes partitus (bicolor damselfish), 292 nucleotides long. RefSeq lists it as uncharacterized. Lineage: Eukaryota; Metazoa; Chordata; Actinopteri; Pomacentridae. The record is from RefSeq and is a predicted model, not a curated record. The transcript is spliced from 3 exons.
AAGUUUGUGUUUGAGUGGCAUUUAAGUCAAAUUACGUGGUACAACACAGCAAACUGGAAACAACAUGCUCACCAAAUAGGUCUUUAUUUAGAUGCAGAGGUGAGGUAAGAUUUCAGAGGAAGGGGGGCACAUUUAUCACAUUAUUGGCCUGCCAUAUCCAUUUAUUAUAUUAAAAUGUAAUCUUUUAAUAUCAAUGAAAUAAUGACAGAAAGCCAGGAGCAGAAAAGAAACCUCAUGUUCCAUAUGAAGAAAAUGUCAAACAAGUUAAAUAUUCAGAACAAAACAAAACAAA